CGCAGCGUGUCCGGAUUAUUGGGUUAAAGGGUGCGUAGGCGGAUAUGUAAGUUCGUGGUGAAUCGUCCGGCUUACCGGAUACCCGCCAUGGAUACUGUGUAUCUUGAGUGUGGAUGAGGAAGUUAGAAUGCGUGGCGUAGCGGUGAAAUGCAUAGAUAUUACGCAGAAUACCGAUUGCGAAGGCAGACUUCUGGUUCAUAACUGACGCUGAGGCACGAAAGCGUGGGUAGCGAACAGGAUUAGAUACCCUGGUAGUCCACGCUGUAAACGAUGAUCACUAGGUGUUCGGUCUAUAUGAUUGAGUGCCCAAGCGAAAGCGAUAAGUGAUCCACCUGGGGAGUACGUCGGCAACGAUGAAACUCAAAGGAAUUGACGGGGGCCCGCACAAGCGGUGGAGCAUGUGGUUUAAUUCGAUGAUACGCGAGGAACCUUACCUGGGCUACAAUGCCUCGGACCGCUGCCGAAAGGUGGUUUCUCUUCGGAGCCGAGUGCAAGGUGCUGCAUGGUUGUCGUCAGCUCGUGCCGUGAGGUGUUGGGUUAAGUCCCGCAACGAGCGCAACCCCUAUCUUUAGUUGCCAGCAUGUAAUGAUGGGGACUCUAAAGAGACUGCCUCCGCAAGGAGCGAGGAAGGCGGGGAUGACGUCAAAUCAUCAUGGCCCUUACGCCCAGGGCGACACACGUGCUACAAUGGACGGUACAGAGGGUAGCGAGCUAGUGAUAGUGAGCCAAUCUCAAAAAGCCGUUCUCAGUUCGGAUCGGAGUCUGCAACUCGACUCCGUGAAGUCGGAAUCGCUAGUAAUCGCAGAUCAGCCAUGCUGCGGUGAAUACGUUCCCGGGCCUUGUACACACCGCCCGUCAAGCCAUGGAAGCCGGGGGCGCCUGAAGCCGGGGGUAACAACCCGUCUAGGGCGAAACGGGUAACUGGGGCUAAGUCGUAACAAGGUAGCCAA
This 950-nucleotide ribosomal RNA is filed under the name uncultured bacterium. Its description in RNAcentral is "bacterial SSU rRNA". It matches the Rfam family "Bacterial small subunit ribosomal RNA", at positions 533 to 1503 of the family's 1533-position model. The record is from RNAcentral.